GGAGAGGUGGCAGAGUGGCUGAAUGCAGCAUCCUGCUAAGAUGCUAAGGGAGCAAUCCCUUCGCGAGUUCGAAUCUCGCCCUCUCCG
RNAcentral lists this transfer RNA (87 nucleotides) under Candidatus Azambacteria bacterium. RNAcentral's name for it is "tRNA-Ser". It matches the Rfam family "tRNA". From Rfam's summary of the family: Transfer RNA (tRNA) molecules are approximately 80 nucleotides in length. Lineage: Bacteria; Candidatus Azamiibacteriota. The record is from RNAcentral.